Tachyglossus aculeatus (Australian echidna) is the source of this 138-nucleotide small nucleolar RNA. The record is from RefSeq and is a predicted model, not a curated record. Lineage: Eukaryota; Metazoa; Chordata; Mammalia; Monotremata; Tachyglossidae.
ACCCUCUCAGGAUUGCACCUGUAGAGUUUCCAAUACUUUAACAAUCUUGGCUUUGGGAGGGAGAGACAAGCAGAGGCAUACUUAUUCCAUUCCUAGCUUGGACACUGGCUAGCGAGUGGAAGGCAAUCUGCUAAAAUU